AUUGAACGCUGGCGGCAUGCCUUACACAUGCAAGUCGAACGGCAGCACGGGAGCAAUCCUGGUGGCGAGUGGCGAACGGGUGAGUAAUAUAUCGGAACGUGCCCAGUCGUGGGGGAUAACGUAGCGAAAGCUACGCUAAUACCGCAUACGAUCUAUGGAUGAAAGCGGGGGAUCGCAAGACCUCGCGCGAUUGGAGCGGCCGAUAUCAGAUUAGGUAGUUGGUGAAGUAAAGGCUCACCAAGCCGACGAUCUGUAGCUGGUCUGAGAGGACGACCAGCCACACUGGGACUGAGACACGGCCCAGACUCCUACGGGAGGCAGCAGUGGGGAAUUUUGGACAAUGGGCGCAAGCCUGAUCCAGCAAUGCCGCGUGCAGGAUGAAGGCCUUCGGGUUGUAAACUGCUUUUGUACGGAACGAAACGGCGAGCUCUAAUACAGUUUGCUAAUGACGGUACCGUAAGAAUAAGCACCGGCUAACUACGUGCCAGCAGCCGCGGUAA
This 500-nucleotide ribosomal RNA is filed under the name uncultured bacterium. RNAcentral's name for it is "partial 16S ribosomal RNA". It matches the Rfam family "Bacterial small subunit ribosomal RNA", at positions 30 to 523 of the family's 1533-position model. The record is from RNAcentral.